GUUAGUGGUUUUCGUGAUGUGUACACAGUUAACUUAAAUAUAAGGACGUCUGUUAUACUGGUGAUUCCUUCUGCUGAUUUGUGUACCUAGGAGUUUCGUUUAGUCCCCUAAAAACUGAGACUAAUGGCUUUAUCUUCGCAUAUAAAAGCAACAUGGAGGUCAUUGGUGAUAAUUAUUACACCAUUGAUUUUAAUACCUUUAGUACUUCCAGGAUCGACUUCAGUAUCUCGAUGCGCCUUUGGUUUACUUUUGAUGGCAGUGUACUGGAUGAGCGAAGCACUACCGCUUCCUGUGACUUCGCUUUUACCAAUUGUGUUAUUUCCUAUUUUAGGAGUAGCCCCUACCAAAAUACUGGCUCUUCAAUAUUUUAAGGAUGUCAUGUUUCUUCUGAUUGGUGGACUGCUGGUGGCGCUAGCCAUAGAGAAAAGUAAUCUUCACAGACGAUUUGCUCUGAAACUUCUUCUUCUGUUUGGGGUCAGACCUAAGAGACUGUUGCUGGCCUUUGCGGUAGGCACUAGCUUUCUGUCCAUGUGGAUUAGUAAUACGGCGUCAACAGCCAUGAUGAUUCCUAUAGCUAGAGCCGUGCUCUCCCGACUCCUCAAGAUUCAGUCUAGAACGAAAAGAGCAGUAUACAGUGGUUCAGAAGCUCUUCUUGGGACAGACUCACCACCGAAUGAACAAAACAAAGCCAUUGAAAUAGUGAUUGAAGAACCUCUACAAAGUGCCAUGAGCGAAAAGACUACCAAGGAUACUAUAGUCAUUGAAGGUGUUAACUACGACGACGAUGACGAAGAAACGGACUUCUCGAAUCUAGACCCAGAAUCAAAGAACCUGGUAAAGGCCGUCUCUCUGUGUGUCUGUUAUUCUGCAAACUGCGGCGGGAUUGGAACACUGACUGGGACAGGACCCAACAUGAUAGCAAAGGGCUAUGCAGACAAACUCGAAGGCGGAAGUUCAGCAAUUACCUUCACAUCGUGGAUGAUAUUCUCAUUUCCGGUGUCGGUCAUUGGUGUCUUCCUGGUUUGGAUUUGGGUGCAGAUUGUCUUUCUUGGACCAAGAGAAACGUUCAGAUGCAGUAAAAGGAAGGAUAAUGAUGCCGAAGCAGAGAAGAGUUCCACUGAGUAUAUAGAAAGAGAGUAUGCCAAAAUGGGUUCCAUUAGUUUUGCUGAGCGUGUUGUUAUGUGUCACUUCUUGCUGUUGAUAAUACUGUGGAUCACACGCAAUCCUGGAUUCCUCCCUGGGUACGCCGAGCUCUUCAACAAUGGGUAUAUAUCAGGGGCGGUUCCUGCCAUUUUGAUUGCCGUCAGCCUUUUCAUUUUCCCAGUAAGGAGACCCAACAGCUGGUGCUUCCGUCGUAAAGGAGAUACCAAUAUUCCAACGGAGACACCAGGUAUCUUGCAAUGGUCACAAGUCAGCAAGACCUUCCCCUGGGGAGUUGUGUUCCUUAUUGGCGGCGGAUACGCUCUUGCAGAGGCAUGCCAGAUAUCUGGGUUAUCCCGAGUCGUGGCUUUGCAACUGUCCUUUAUUGGAAAUCUUCCGCUCUGGUUGGCUAGUCUUGUUGUCAUAACAUUGACGUGCUUAACAACAGAAAUAACCAGCAAUUCCGUCAUAACAACAAUAUUUAUGCCAAUAUUAGCCGAAGUAGGAGCGGGAGUUAGCCAAGUCGUUGAGCGCUCGGCUGACGUGCUUGCCUCGUCGGAUCGAACCACUCAGUGGAUCUGUUCAACUGAUUUGGUUUUUUCUCGUUCCAACCAGUGCACCACAAAGUCAGCAUAUUGUUAUACAUAUUCCUCUGUCACCAAUGGUGAAGUUCUAUUCAGGCCAUUUCAAUGAAAGUACACCCUCUGUACUUCAUGUUGCCAUCUGCAGUGUCAGCUUCGUUCGCAUUCAUGUUUCCAGUUGCCACACCACCCAAUGCUUUGGUCUUUGCGUACGGUGACGUCAAGGUCGUGGAUAUGGUGAAAACUGGAGCCAUUUUAAAUAUUGUCAACAUCUUCUCUGUGACAAUGGCUAUCAAUACAUGGGGAACAGCAUAUUUUCAUCUAGAUCAGUUUCCUGACUGGGCUCAAAGGAUGUAUAUUGAAGCUGUUGAGUCA
RNAcentral lists this unclassified non-coding RNA (2096 nucleotides) under Gigantopelta aegis. RNAcentral describes it as "solute carrier family 13 member 5-like, transcript variant X2". The record is from RNAcentral. Lineage: Eukaryota; Metazoa; Mollusca; Gastropoda; Neomphalida; Peltospiridae.